CGUACCUGAUUAUUUGCAAGAUCUUUUGGUCCUAUUUCAAUCCUAAGAGGAACCCCCUUCAUUUCCCAGUGAGAAUAUUUCCAGCCAGGUGAGUAGUUGUCUCUGUAAUCUGCCUCAGCACGAAUACCUGAUUCGUUCAAGUUUUUGACAGUGGCAGCACAGGCGUCAAAGAUCCCUUGAUUAUUAGCAUCCUUGUAUAGCACGGGAAUAACAAUUACUUGUGUUGCUGCAACUUUAGGAGGUAAGACCAGGCCUUUAUCAUCUCCAUGAACCAUGAUCAUCACACCAAUCUGUCACAGUACCAGAUAAAAGAAGGGUGAGUUAGAUUGACAUCUGAAUUACCAACUGCACAAUACAGAGUUUCUCAAUGGGGAAUAUCCACCGUUCUGGUUGUAAAGCCCCAGGAAUUCUGCCAGACCAUAGCCUUCUCUCCCUUCUCGUUUUCAAAAUUUAUCUCAAACAUUGUUGCAAAAUUCUGGCCCAAACAAUGUGAAGUCGCACCUUGGAUACCACGGCCAGUAUUAGGGAUAAAAGCCUAGCAAACAAAACCGUGAACAAUGUAAAAGAAUGGAGAUAAGAACAAUUUCACCAGCAGUAAAAAGACUGCCAAAUAAUGUCUACCUCUACUGUAGUCGUAUAGAGUCCACCAGCAAACUUCUCAAGCUCGCUUUUCUUUCCCUUACUCACUGGAACAGCUAAGAAGUCUUCAUAUAUACGUCUAUACAACUCCAAGAUUUCAAGAACCUGAAAAAAUCGACAGAACAUGUAUUUAUUAAUAAGUAGUAAAGAUAGAAGCUGACACAUCAAAUUCUUAAUUCUUGUCUAGGAUAAAUCAGGGCACCUCAGUAUCAAGCAACUAGUUCUCUCAAAAGACGGGUAAUACUAAUGAAUUUGCUUUUGAUUAGACAAAUAUUGACAAGAUUAAAAGACAAUCACCGCAUACAGAAGAUGCACAAGUCAGAGAUUAGAAUUGUCUGUCUGCCAUGAAGCAAAGCCUAAAACAGCCCAGAUUUUGACAGAAAGUGGGACAAUUACAAACACAUGAAAAUGGCUUAUUUGCAUUUUGUAAUAUUCGUCCCUGAUUUUACGAUGAUGAUUCGUAUACAUAGCGACAAAUUCCCAUAGUACAAUUUAAGUUAAAUCUGUUUUCUCCAGAUCUUGUCUGCUCAUAUUUCCCUUUUGGAUUAUCCCAAAAUAGCCUUCUCAAAAAGUUAAAACUUUAAGGGGGUCCACUCUUCCCUCCAGCACAAUUGUUCCUCCAAUUUAAACCUGAAUGAGAAGGGUAAUAUAUAACCCACAUUUGAAAUUUAACAGAGCAAAAUUUUUACAUCCUGGCUUCAGCAUCACUAUCCAUCUUCCUUCGAAGACAGGUUAGCAGGCACUGACAUCAUCCCAUGUCAAGACAGCUUAGCAGGCUGGUCCAUGUAACUCGAAAUAAUUGUUCACAAAAAUAGGAUUUGCUUGUCCUAUAAAGUAAAGUGGUAUCAUGGUGCCGCCUUGAGCUUAAACAAAACUAUAGUUCUCCUACUUCUCUGCACCAUCCCAAACAGAAUAAUCAAAUACCAGGUUUUAAUGAAUAAUAUUAACUGGAAAGGAUAGCUUAUUCAGCACUUCCAAACAUGAUACAAUCAUAAGCCUCAUGGCCUGAUGCAAACAGCUCCAGAAAGCUUAAUUUUGCAUCAUAUAGCAAAUGCAAGCAUAGGGCAAAGGACGGGGUAGGCAUAAAAAGAAAAAGAAUUUUAUAAAUUACUAAAUUUCAGUUAACAUCCAAUAUUUCAAGCUAUAUACUACCCAAUGUUGUUUGAAGCACGCACUUCGUCGCUUAAAGCGAGGCGCAUGUUCACCGCUUUUCAGGCGAAGCGAGCGGUUUUCACAACAUUGGACUUGAUACACAUUGAUAUGUAAUAUAAUUUAUAUUUAAUAGAGAAAUACCUGCUUAUAUUUAUUUAUAAUUAUAAAUAAAGCUUCAUUUGUUAAAUAUUUAUUUUUGUUGAGUUAUUGUUUAUUUAGUUAUUUUAUUUAUCUUUGCAUUGCUUAUUUUAGUUUAAUUUUAAAAUUGCGCUUCACUGAAGUGAAGCGCGCGCUUCGCUUCGAGCUUCGCGCUUUGGGUGAGGCGAGCCCUCGUCGCUUUUUUGCGCUUCGUGCUCUCCAAAACACUGAUACUACCUGUAUAGAAUUUUUAAUGAUCAAUUGCAUACUGUAACAUAUAACCGAAAUACAUCUGCAUCUGCCUCCUCCUUAGUUGCAAAAGCAGUGUGUCCUUCUUGCCAAAGAAACUCACGGCUCCUGAGUAAGGAACACAGGCAAGGAGUGUUACACACAGCUUGAUGAUCUCAAAUGAAUAGAAGGUUGAUGUUUAUAACGAAUAAGCUAAAUAUACAUGCGGAGCAGGUAGAAGAAAGGAGAUAACAAUUAGGUCCAUCCUCCCCAGAAAGAUGAACGUAGGAUUUGAUUAGCUUAAACAAGUUGCAAAACAAAGUUGCAGAUAGAGCACAUCAACUUUCUGAUGUGAGACAGGUAAAAGAAUUAACUCAAAAAGCAAACCUGAUGAAGGGGGUUGGGUUGCUAAACUCCCACCGCACAACGUUGCACCACUGGUUAAGUCUCAAGGGCAAGUCACGGUGUCCCCUUAUCCACUUAGAGAAAUAAGGAUACAUCACUGUUUCACUUGUUGGUCGAAUCGCAAUGGGGACUUCCAGAUCAGAUUCUCCAGAUUUUGUAACCCAAGCAACCUAAAGAAUGAUGACAACCGGUUAUAGAGCAUAGUAGAUGAACAAAUGCUAUACAGUUUUAGAUUGCUUAAGAGGAUGCUACAAACUGAAGACCAUGAUAGAAGUUACCGUUAUUGAAAUUAACAAUACAACUGAACAAAGUAUCUUACAUCUAGGAAUCAUACAUCACCCAAAUAUGUGGUAACUUUCUAUACUAUAUGAUGCCUUUGAAGGAAAUUUAAGAGAGUAGAAAGUGGGAAGUCCUUUUCACAUUUUACUAUUAUCCCUUGAAGAAAGAAGAAUAAAAGCAGCAGCAACAGCUUAUAUACAUAUUUUGGAAGAUAAAAUCCAGUUUCACAAAUCAAGGUGUCAUAAAACGAAAAGACAGAAAAUGGAAAGGAAACAAAGAGGUGUAAAAAAAAACACAAAGCCUUCCCAGUGCUUCACAGAGUGAAAAAAUAACUCGAGUUUGCCAACAAGAGCCUCACCUCACCUCAGGAGCAAAUCCUUCUAUGUGGUCCUUUUCCUUUUGUAGAACACCAGGGGACACAAAAAGAGGGAAGUAGGAGUUCUUUAUCUUCAUCUUCUUAAUUUCAGCAUCAAAAAAGGCCUGGAAACAGAAUUAAGAAUGCAUUGUAAAUGUAAUGAAGAAAGGGGUGAAAAAUUGUCAGUCAUGUAGAUAACAUCUCCUUUUCAAAAGAAUUGUCAACUUAGCUGACAUAAAAAAGAAUUCAAUCCUGAAUAAGGCCCACACAAAACAAUCAGUUUGAGGGACAUACUUACUUGCAAUAUCUCCCAGAUGGACAUUGCCCAUGGCCGUAAGAUAUAGCAGCCAGAAAUAUCAUAGUACUCAAUCAUUUCACCACUAACAACCACCUACAAUUAUUAGUCAAGGAGGAGUAAAAAUCAUGAUAUGUGAUAAAAAGGAACUUGUAAAUGCAAUAUGACAGGAAGUACAUAAAAAGAGCAGGAAUCUUAAGAAAUGCAUCACACAAGUAAGCAGAUAUAUACCAAAGUCAAUUGUUGUUGAAAACGUACAUGACAUUGAGCUAUUCACUUAUAGUACAUGUCUGAUAGAGUGCAUUAAACUUACUAACAAACUGGAGAUACAGGCAGGUUUAAAACACCAGUAAGGGAAGAAGGUUGGUAACAAAAGGGAAGCUUUCUUUUUCGGUUAUGUUUGCACAUGAAUGAUCUACUUGCCGCCAGGGACAUUGAUUCUAUGAAAUAAUAGAACAGCUUAUAGAGGUCUUUGCCAAGGAAUUUCAGGUUGGCCUAUGUUAUCCAAAGAUUCUUUUGAUGCAUAUUAGGGAUCAAGGAAAAUCAAUUCCGGCUCUGUUGAAAGUUAAUAAAGACAAAAGACUUGCACCGCCAAAACAAUACAGGAACAAAGAAGAUGGAGAAAUGUGCAGAAAAUGGACUAGAAAUAAAAAGAGAUGAGUAGAAACUAAUCUUGCCCUGCCCAACAUGGCGCCAAGAAAUCCUCAAUUAGGUACCUCCAUGUCAUGCACUAACUAGUUUUGUAAUGCCAAGUGAAAGACAUUAAAUAAAUAAGCUUUUGGGGAAGAGGGGGGGGAUGUAACUUUAGAAAAAUUGGAUUGCUUGAAGCAUCUGGAAGCUCAUAUUCCAACUCUUUUUUUUCACAAAGCAAAAUAACCUCAGAAGCACCCAUGAAUAUCACAUUUAGCAUCUCUAAUAGUUGAACAUUCCAAUCUUACCUCAGAAUACCACUCCCCAAAGUUCUCAUCUUUCUUGGAAGAGAGACCAAGACCUGUCUCUUUCUUGACUUCUUUCUUUUUUCCCUCUAAACAAAAGGCAAGACGAAAAUAUUACAAAGUGCAGACUGAAAACUUUGAAGAGUGAGAACAGGAAAUUUGCAUAAGCAGUCAACUAAUGAGAAUUACAUACUAUUUGAAUCUUUACCAGCCAUGGAAGCAAACACCUCAAACAAAAGCUAAAUAUGUUCCCUCCCAAUAGCCAGGGUACUGUUUAACAGCAAAACAAGGCCAACAAUUAAUCAAGUUCAACAACGAUCAGCUUGCGCAAGCAGCCAAUUAUCAUCUAUUUUCUUUUUCUUCUUAAUUUCAUUGAUCAAUCAAUUCAAGAAUACGAAAGUUUUGCACCCUUUUUUCCUAUGAUAGAUGCAUCAAGAUUUUCAUCCGGAUCUGCUUUCCAUCAAUUUUAACACUAUCAAAUUUCUGAAUUACUCAAUUACAAUAGAACUCGCAUACACAUAUGAAAAACAGAAGCUACUAGCUGCAAUAAUCUAAAUUGUAAUAAUGCCCGAAAAGUAGUUUCAAGAAGGUGCUACUUCAUCAGGUUUCUCCCGUUUGGCCAUAGACUUUGGCUUCAUUUUUUCAAAAAACAAUUGAAAACAUUGUUUGUUUAUGAAAUAUGAUAAUGUUUUGGGAAAAAAAAAUCAAAAAUUUUCAAGUUCCUAAAUUCUAGUUUAGAGCAGUUUUUGGGUGAAAAUUUUCUUUCCACUCACAAAACUUCAACUUUUCUUCAAAAUAAAAUGCAUGACCAAACACAACUUCAACUUUCAAAAAUUAUUUUUCAACAACUACAAAAACUCUUUUUUCAAGUUUCAAUCAGAUUUAUGUCUAGCUUAAACUUUUGCCCAUCUAAAACAGGUACGAGACUUACAAAAAUCAUGACAAGAACGAAAAAUAUGCACUUUGGUAUACCAGUGUUUAAAAAAGCGCCCGCUUCCUCGCUUUAAGCGAGAAGCAAGGCGAAGCGUGAAGGGCAGCGCUUCAGCAAGGUGAAGCGACUCAGGUCAGUAAAAGCGACCGCUUCUCUGUAAAAAGCGAGAAGCGGGGAAAGCGAAGCAAAUCGAAGAAGCGUCCGCUUCUCUGUUUUAAAAUACCCAACCCUAUUUUAUUAAAAACGAGUUUUUGGAUUAAACACUGGUCUGGACUUCUUCAACAACAGCGACUAGGGUUCUUCUUCUUCUUCUUCAACUUCAAGUUCAAGACUUCAAGACUUCAACAGGUAUGUUCUGAACUUCUGAUUUUCAUUCUCCUUCUUCUUCUUCUUCUUCUUCUUUUACUUUUUCUUUUUCUUUCUAAACGUCCAAAAAGCGGCGAAAUGCUACUGCCCAAUUUUUUCAGUUUUUAACAGAGAAUUCCUCUAAUUUUUUAUAUCCUUUAUUCUUAGUUCUUAUUGCCUUUCUUAUGUGUUAUGUAGUUGUUCUUUUAAUGGCGCCAAAAGAAGAUAGGAAAGACCCGGCUUGGGCUUACUCUGAAAGUGUUUGCGAGACCAACAAGAUGGCAAUUAGAUGUCUUUUUUGUGACAAGAUUUCAAAUGGGGGAAUCUAUCGUCAAAAAGUGCCUCUUGUCCUAAAGUUCCGUCGCAUGUGAAGGAAGAUUUGAAAGCAUUCCUUCAAAAAAAAAAAAAGAGUUAAAGACUCAAAUGAUUCACGAACAAGAACUGCAUAAUCUUGAUGACGAUGAUGAAACAGAAGAAGAAGUUGAAGAAGAUGACAAGCAAUAUAAUAAUGAUAGCGGAAUACAAGAAUUUGACAAUCUUGUAGAAGAAUAGGAUGCUCAUUUUGUGCUUUAAUUGAUGCUACUAUUUAAUUUUUACAUUGAAGUAUUGAACAUUUGCUUACAAUUACAUGUGUUGUCUAUGCAGUAUUUAUUUUAAAAUUUUUUUAAAAUUCCGCUUCACUUCAAAAAAGCGAGCGCUUCGCUUCUCGCUUCUCGCUUUAAGCGAAAUGGGGGUUGUCGCUUUUUCUCGCUUCACGCUCUUCACAACACUGUGGUAUACUCAAUAAGAAUAGCUAUAAUGGGACAUAAAAUAAGGCCUAAUAUAAUGUAACACAACACCCAUUAACAUCAAAUUGAAAUAAGUUAAACGGAAAAGGGUCAUAUUUGCUCCUGUACUCUUUAAAAAGGUUAUAUUUGUACUUCGUUAUACUUUUUAGAUAUAUUUAUCCUUAUCGUUAUACUUUAAGAUCAUAUUUGCUCUUGUACUCUUAAAAAGGAUUAUAUUUGCCCUUCAUUAUACUUUUUUGACAUAUUUAUCCUUACAAUUAUACUUAGGAUCAUAUUUGUCCCUCAUCCGUUAGAUCGCCAUGUCCCACCUUUGUUUUCCUACAUGGCGCCUAUGUGAAUUUCUUUUUCUUCCAAUUUAAAUAUGAUCACACCCAAUUUAAAUAUGGUCAACACUUACCUCACUAACUGUGGUGACCUAGUUAGUGUGUCUUAUUUAAAUUGGGUGGGCAGGUUAAAUUAUCUUAAAUAGGUGAACAUAUUUAAAUUGAAAGAAAAAGAAAUCCACGUAGGCGCCAUGUAGUAAAACAAAGGUGGGUCAUGGCGAUCUAACGGAGGAGGGACAAAUAUGAUCCUAAAGCAUAAUUGUAAAAAUAAAUAUGUCAACAAAGUAUAACGAAGGCAAAUAUAACCGUACCAUUUUUAAAAAGUACCAGGUACAAAUAUGACCCUUUUUAAUCGAAAAAAGAGAUAGGGGCAACAAUUUUAGACUGACCUUGGCUACAAAGAGAGGCGAAAACGACGUCGAAAAGAGGAGAGUUUGAGGAUGAUGAAGCGGCGCAGCAGUGGAAGCCCGAAGGAGAAGGAAAGUGUCAACGCAAGGAAAGAGUAUGGGAAAACGACACGCUGCUCUUUAUCCUGUUUGAAUUGUGAGUAAAUUCAGAUUCACCCCUCUAUUGGAAUUACACAAUGAAUUCACCCUACCAGAGGGUAAACAUGUUGAUAAGCGUUAUUUUCCUUUUAAUUUGCUCCAAAAUACUUUUUCAUAUUUUAAAAUCUUUGAAGUCUAAUAUUUUUUAGAUUUCCUUUUGCAUCGUUAUAUAGGAGUAGUAGUUAUUGAUCUAUAGUUUUAAUUUUUAUGCGUUGCCGAUGCAAAUAUAUUUUACAAGUGCAGUUCAGCAUUCAGAUUAUUGUAAGAAAAUUACUUACUUUAUUUACCAGGUUACUAAUCUUCUGGAUGCACAAGAUUAAAGGCUUUCUGGCCGUAUUCUAAUUAUCUUUAUUUUCUUUAGAAAUAUAAGAAGCAUUGCAGCAAUGAGAAUGAACGAACCUUGAAUACUACGGUGAUAAGAUAGCCAUUUGGUGUAUACUAUUUUUGAAAGUAAAUCAUAAGUUACAAGAAAGACAAAGGGCAAAUAUUUAGGAGCAUCUCUUUGAUUUGUGAACUAUAAAUUUCAAUUUAAGAUUGGAAAAAGGGGGAAACAAAAGACAGAGUGAAUUAUCCAGCACAAAACAUGGAUGCAAUUAGCAAUUCUGGAAUACAAUUUCUAAAUCGCCCGAACUCAGAAAAAUGUAAUAGAGAUCAAUAUGAAAUUAUGAAUCAUCAAUAGCUGCGGCCCCAGUAUGUCCAUUUCUUAGCAGGUUUACCAGAGGCAAAGCACAAUGUACCUAUGACGUAGCAGGAGAAAAUGAUAAUAUUAGAUUAUGGCAGUAAAAUUCAAUUUUCAAUUAAUAGUACCACCAAAACAGCAGUAAAACUGACAAGUCUACAAGUAUACAUUGGCAACGCUUAACUUCGCUGCGUUUUAGGCAAUAGUUAUACAUACUGCAAGGAUAAAUAGUACCUUCAGGCAGCUCAGGCUGGUCAAAUGGAGAACAAAGAGUCUUCGCUGCACCCAUUUCCCCUUUUGUGCGUGCCUUCACAUCUUUCUCGACAUCCUAUUAGAAAGUAUCAGAGUUCAUGUGAAACGAAUGCGAACAAGAAAUGAUGAACUAGCUGGAAACACCUCAAUUUCAGAUGAAUGUGCAUCAGGAAUAACAAACUCACUAUGCAAAUUAAUAUUAUUAUCAUAAGAGAAGGAUAAGCUGCACUCACCAGAAACAAAGUGCUAUGGAAGGAUUUCUUAGUUUAAGUUCGUUCCCAUUUUCAUUAUCUUUUGGCUGGGAAAAGGAGGUGGCAUUUUUAGCAGUGUAGCCAAAAUAGUCUAUUCACCAGGGAAAACAUUAACUACAACUGAUACAAUCUUUCCCUGCUUCGUAAAAGUGAACGCAUGAUUUGUCCAAACCGGACAAACCAGACAUAGGAGCAUCCAUACUUCAUUUCUGGAUGAUGGAAGCGAGUUUCUUUAAGAUGGUUAAGGUGUGACUCUAGUUAGAGCUUAGUGAGUUUUAAACCCCUUCACGUAAAAGAGAAGAAUAUGUGACCAUCUGCAUAAGGAACACUUGUUUGUUAUCAGAUCUGACCAAUGCAUUAGUUCUGAGUCCGUCUAUUACCAUAUCUUUUAGAAGGGUUCAUGAAUCUCAAGUGAAUUCUAGAUUUAAUUUGAUAUAAUCAGUAGAUAUUGAGUGCUAAUUGACCAUGAUCGCAAUCCAUUGAAUUUCAAGAUUGACUAAAUCAACCCUGCCAAUAUGCAGAUUUCAAGAUCAAACUUGCCUGAUGUCUGACUCUGUGAAACUCCCUCUGUUAUCGCGGCCCAACACAUUGAAGAGGAAAAUAAAAAAUUCAUCUCAUUUGAUAGGAUUUUACCUCCUCAUCACACCAAGGAGCCAAGAUCAACUUCUUUUGGCUUAGUGCUUCAGCAAAUUCAUCCCAGGUCUUUACAACCUGAACACAAGCAUCUCGCUUUUGUUUUGCAACAUCAAACAGAUUUUGUUGGAUAGAGGCGAGCACAUCUUUUACUUGUUCGACUAAAUUUGCCACAGGAAUAUCUGUUUUCGCUCCGUUGUCACGCCGAACAGCUCGUACCUGGGAAAGUUAUUUCAGAGUUUUGGAUCGAAAAACUAUUAAAUUAAAAAACAGCAUGUUAUUUGGCUGCUCUCAGAAAACAAACAAUUAACACCAUAGAACACAACAUUUCUACUUUUUGUUUUCAUGAACAACGGACUCAGUAGGGAGUAACUAUAAUUGGUACCUGAUUAUUGGCAAGAUCUUUUGGUCCUAUUUCAAUCCUAAGAGGAACCCCCUUCAUUUCCCAGUGAGAAUAUUUCCAGCCAGGUGAGUAGUUGUCUCUGUAGUCUGCCUCAGCACGAAUACCUGAUUCGUUCAAGUUUUUGACAGUGGCAGCACAGGCAUCAAAGAUCCCUAGAGUAUUAGCGUCCUUGUAUGGCACAGGAAUAACAAUUACUUGUGUCGCUGCAACUUU
This 9789-nucleotide long non-coding RNA is filed under the name Nicotiana tabacum (common tobacco). Its description in RNAcentral is "long non-coding RNA (NTAB_LNC007789)". Lineage: Eukaryota; Viridiplantae; Streptophyta; Magnoliopsida; Solanales; Solanaceae. The record is from RNAcentral.